GCAAAGUUCGGAAACGGAUGGAACUUGGGUGCGUAUGCAUUCGGGGAUUUGAGUGGCCGACACGGGGUCGAAGUAAACAACGGUGAGGUAAACCCUUGCCCCUUUAAACUUCUUGGGGAAUAAAGCCCUGGGGAAACGUGGGGUUCUUAAUUACCUGGAUAUUUGACUUUUUACCUGCGACAUGGGGUGUUGCGUUGAAAGAUUUCUUUGGUUUUGGAUGGACUACGCGGCCCUAUCAGCUUGUUGGUGAGGUAACUGGCUUACCAAGGCGACGACGGGUAGCCGGCCUGAGAGGGUGACCGGCCACACUGGGAUUGAGACACGGCCCAGACUCCUACGGGAGGCAGCAGUGGGGAAUAUUGCACAAUGGGCGAAAGCCUGAUGCAGCGACGCCGCGUGAGGGAUGACGGCCUUCGGGUUGUAAACCUGUUUC
This 433-nucleotide ribosomal RNA is filed under the name Arthrobacter sp. 1p. RNAcentral's name for it is "SSU rRNA". It matches the Rfam family "Bacterial small subunit ribosomal RNA", at positions 77 to 437 of the family's 1533-position model. The record is from RNAcentral. Lineage: Bacteria; Bacillati; Actinomycetota; Actinomycetes; Micrococcales; Micrococcaceae.